AACCCAUGGUGAGGGCACCUUCUUAAUAGAUCCUUGUAUCUCUCCUAUGCAUCAUAGGGUGUUUCUAAAUCCAUCCGCACAAAAGAAGAAAUAUCAUUCCUUAAUUU
Molecule: small nucleolar RNA, 107 nt
Filed under: Gossypium hirsutum (cotton)
Lineage: Eukaryota; Viridiplantae; Streptophyta; Magnoliopsida; Malvales; Malvaceae
Description: Plant small nucleolar RNA R71
Rfam family: Plant small nucleolar RNA R71
About the family: R71 is a member of the C/D box family of snoRNAs containing the C (UGAUGA) and D (CUGA) box motifs. Multiple nearly identical copies of this snoRNA have been identified in Arabidopsis, and it is thought to function as a 2'-O-ribose methylation guide for 18S ribosomal RNA.
Source: Rfam by way of RNAcentral